This 44-nucleotide transfer RNA is filed under the name Tequintavirus T5. RNAcentral describes it as "Escherichia virus T5 partial tRNA-His". Lineage: Duplodnaviria; Heunggongvirae; Uroviricota; Caudoviricetes; Demerecviridae. The record is from RNAcentral.
GGACUAAGUGUUAGUCCUAGUAAUUGGUUAAUACUAUAUCGGUG